This 253-nucleotide ribosomal RNA is filed under the name uncultured bacterium. RNAcentral's name for it is "partial 16S ribosomal RNA". It matches the Rfam family "Bacterial small subunit ribosomal RNA", at positions 524 to 776 of the family's 1533-position model. The record is from RNAcentral.
UACGAAGGGGGCUAGCGUUGCUCGGAAUUACUGGGCGUAAAGCGCACGUAGGCGGCUCUUUAAGUCGGGGGUGAAAUCCUGGAGCUCAACUCCAGAACUGCCUUCGAUACUGAAGAGCUUGAGUCCGGGAGAGGUGAGUGGAACUGCGAGUGUAGAGGUGAAAUUCGUAGAUAUUCGGAAGAACACCAGUGGCGAAGGCGGCUCACUGGCCCGGUACUGACGCUGAGGUGCGAAAGCGUGGGGAGCAAACAGG